CAACCCUCAAGCCCCUUUGGACUUGGUGUUGGGGACCGGCGAUGGACACACUGUCCUGUCGCCGCCCCCUAAAUGAAUUGGCGGCCUCGUCGCGGCCCUCCUCUGCGUAGUAGCACACACCUCGCAACAGGAGCCCGGCGAAUGGCCACUGCCGUAAAACCCCCAACUUUUUUCAG
This 176-nucleotide unclassified non-coding RNA is filed under the name uncultured Clavicipitaceae. Its description in RNAcentral is "sequence contains ITS2". Lineage: Eukaryota; Fungi; Ascomycota; Sordariomycetes; Hypocreales; Clavicipitaceae. The record is from RNAcentral.